GGGGGGGGGGGGGGGGGGGGGGGGGGGGGGGGGGGCGGGGGGGGGGGGGCGGGGGGGGGGGGGGGCGCGGGGGGCGGGCGGGGGAGUAACGCGUGAGUAGCCUGCCCUUGGCUGUGGGAUAACUUCAGGAAGCUGGGGCUAAUACCGGAUAGGAGCUCCUGCUGCAUGGGGGGGGUUGGAAAGUUUCGGCGGUUGGGGAUGGACUCGCGGCUUAGCAGCUUGUUGGUGGGGUAGUGGCUUACCAAGUCUUUGACGGGUAGCCGGCCUGAGCGGGUGACCGGCCACAUUGGGACUGAGAUACGGCCCAGACUCCUACGGGAGGCAGCAGUGGGGAAUAUUGCACAAUGGGCGGAAGCCUGAUGCAGCAACGCCGCGUGCGGGAUGACGGCCUUCGGGUUGUAAACCGCUUUCGCCUGUGACGAAGCGUGAGUGACGGUAAUGGGUAAAGAAGCACCGGCUAACUACGUG
Molecule: ribosomal RNA, 468 nt
Filed under: uncultured bacterium
Lineage: Bacteria
Description: partial 16S ribosomal RNA
Rfam family: Bacterial small subunit ribosomal RNA (bases 48-468)
Source: RNAcentral